UCAAUUUAUUCCAAAACCUCCUUUACUGACACAUCAAUCUGGGACAGUUCCUCAGAUAUGUCACCUAAAAUGAAUAGCUCAGGUGUGGAAAUCUUCCUUAUCCUCUGCAGUGUAGACA
Gopherus evgoodei (Goodes thornscrub tortoise) is the source of this 118-nucleotide long non-coding RNA. RefSeq lists it as uncharacterized. The transcript is spliced from 3 exons. The record is from RefSeq and is a predicted model, not a curated record. NCBI's taxonomy places the organism in Eukaryota, Metazoa, Chordata, Testudines, Testudinidae.